This 198-nucleotide unclassified non-coding RNA is filed under the name soil metagenome. RNAcentral describes it as "partial contains 5.8S ribosomal RNA, internal transcribed spacer 2, and large subunit ribosomal RNA". The record is from RNAcentral.
AACGGUCUAUACCUGCGGUACCUGCGGAGGGAUCAUUACCGAGUUUACAACUCCCAAACCCCAUGUGAACAUACCUGUUUCGUUCCCUCGGCGGUGUCCGGCAACGGCCCGCCAGAGGACCCAACAAACUCUUUUGAAUUUUUCAGUAUCUUCUGAGUGAAAAAAACAAUAAAUCAAAACUUUCAGCAAUGGAUCUCU